Molecule: unclassified non-coding RNA, 404 nt
Filed under: soil metagenome
Description: partial contains 5.8S ribosomal RNA, internal transcribed spacer 2, and large subunit ribosomal RNA
Rfam family: 5.8S ribosomal RNA (bases 1-122)
Source: RNAcentral
GAUGAAGAACGUAGCAAAAUGCGAUACUUGGUGUGAAUUGCAGAAUCCCGUGAACCAUCGAGUUUUUGAACGCAAGUUGCGCCCGAAGCCUUUUGGCCGAGGGCACGUCUGCCUGGGCGUCACGCAUCGCGUCGCCCCCCACAAUUCUCCGUAAAGGGAACAUGUGUUUUGGGGGCGGAUAUUGGUCUCCCGUGCUCAUGGCGUGGUUGGCCGAAAUAGGAGUCCUUUCGAUGGACGCACGAACUAGUGGUGGUCGUAAAAACCCUCGUCUGUUGUUUCGUGCUGUUGCUCGCAAGGUAAACUCUUUAAAAACCCCAAUGUGUCGUCUCUUGACGACGCUUCGACCGCGACCCCAGGUCAGGCGGGACUACCCGCUGAGUUUAAGCAUAUCAAUAAGCGGAGGA